UAACGUGAAAGCACUCGGUGUGAGUAGAGUGGCGGACGGGUGAGUAACGCGUGGGAAUCUGCCCAGUAGUGGGGGACAACUACCGGAAACGGUAGCUAAUACCGCAUACGCCCUAUGGGGGAAAGGCUUCGGCCGCUAUUGGAUGAGCCCGCGUCAGAUUAGCUAGUUGGUAGGGUAAAGGCCUACCAAGGCAACGAUCUGUAGCUGGUCUGAGAGGACGAACAGCCACACUGGGACUGAGACACGGCCCAGACUCCUACGGGAGGCAGCAGUGGGGAAUAUUGGACAAUGGCGCAAGCCUGAUCCAGCCAUGCCGCGUGUGUGAAGAAGGCCUUAGGGUUGUAAAGCACUUUCAGAAGUGAAGAAAGGCGUUGGGUGAAUAAUCUGACGUUUUGACGUUAGCUUCAGAAGAAGCACCGGCUAACUCCGUGCCAGCAGCCGCGGUAAUACGGAGGGUGCGAACGUUAAUCGGAAUUACUGGGCGUAAAGCGCGCGUAGGCGGCUUGUUAAGUCAGAUGUGAAAGCCCCGGGCUCAAACUGGGAAUUUGCAUUGAAACUGGCAGGCUAGAAGUGCAGUAGAGGGAGGUGGAAUUCCAGGUGUUAGCGGGUGAAACAUGCGUUGAUACUCGGACGAACACCAGGGGCGAAGGGGGCCUCUGGACUGAACUGACCUUAGGGGAAAGCGUGGGAGCAACGGAAUAAUACCUGUUAUCCAGGCCGUA
This 722-nucleotide ribosomal RNA is filed under the name uncultured Pseudomonadota bacterium. RNAcentral describes it as "bacterial SSU rRNA". It matches the Rfam family "Bacterial small subunit ribosomal RNA", at positions 64 to 804 of the family's 1533-position model. Lineage: Bacteria; Pseudomonadati; Pseudomonadota. The record is from RNAcentral.